This 265-nucleotide ribosomal RNA is filed under the name uncultured bacterium. RNAcentral describes it as "partial 16S ribosomal RNA". It matches the Rfam family "Bacterial small subunit ribosomal RNA", at positions 89 to 354 of the family's 1533-position model. The record is from RNAcentral.
UCUUUAGUGGCGGACGGGUGAGUAACGCGUGGGUAACCUGCCUUACACAGGGGGAUAACACUUAGAAAUAGGUGCUAAUACCGCAUAAGCGCACAGUCCCGCAUGGGACAGUGUGAAAAACUGAGGUGGUGUAAGAUGGACCCGCGUCUGAUUAGCUAGUUGGUGGGGUAACGGCCCACCAAGGCGACGAUCAGUAGCCGGCCUGAGAGGGUGGACGGCCACAUUGGGACUGAGACACGGCCCAAACUCCUACGGGAGGCAGCAG